Molecule: ribosomal RNA, 128 nt
Filed under: uncultured eukaryote
Lineage: Eukaryota
Description: partial 18S ribosomal RNA
Rfam family: Eukaryotic small subunit ribosomal RNA
Source: RNAcentral
CUCCUACCGAUUGAAUGGUCCGGUGUAAGUGUUCGGAUCGCGGCGACGUGGGCGGUUCGCCGCUGGCGACGUCGCGUGAAGUCCACUGAACCUUAUCAUUUAGAGGAAGGAGAAGUCGUAACAAGGUU